UACGAAGGGAGCUAGCGUUGUUCGGAAUUACUGGGCGUAAAGGGCGCGUAGGCUGUGGGAUAAGUCAGAUGUGAAAGACCUGGGCUCAACCUGGGAAGUGCAUAUGAUACUGUUUCACUAGAGAUCGAGAGAGGAGAGUGGAAUUGCGAGUGUAGAGGUGAAAUUCGUAGAUAUUCGCAAGAACACCGGUGGCGAAGGCGGCUCUCUGGCUCGAUACUGACGCUAAGGCGCGAAAGCGUGGGGAGCAAACAGG
This 253-nucleotide ribosomal RNA is filed under the name uncultured bacterium. RNAcentral describes it as "partial 16S ribosomal RNA". It matches the Rfam family "Bacterial small subunit ribosomal RNA", at positions 524 to 776 of the family's 1533-position model. The record is from RNAcentral.